Molecule: unclassified non-coding RNA, 419 nt
Filed under: Zea mays
Lineage: Eukaryota; Viridiplantae; Streptophyta; Magnoliopsida; Poales; Poaceae
Description: misc RNA Zm00001eb242430
Source: RNAcentral
CCCGAGGAUCGGUCCUCGGCGACCAGGCCGAGGAGGAGGUGGCGCGGCGCCACGGCGGGCUCCCCGAGCCCCCGGGCCUCCCGCUGCGACAGCACGACCGCCUUGACGGCCCGCUCCGUGAACCGCUCGAACACCGCCCUGACGACGCCGACGCCCCCCCUGCGCGCCCGGCGCGUGGGCGCCGCCGCGGCCGCGGAUGCCGGGCGUGGGAGCGGGUGCGCCAGCACCACCGCCCUCCCGAACCCCGCUGCGCCCCAGCGAGCCGCCGGCGCGGCCAGCCUCCGCGCCGCGGCGCCGCGGCCCCCGGCGGUGAGGACGGACGACGAGGUGGAGCAGCAGCACACCUCCAUAGCUACCGCACCAGCAACGACACACAAAAAAAGAAACAAGAAAAAUUAAGGAACUACCUUAACCCUCCC